Molecule: unclassified non-coding RNA, 389 nt
Filed under: Hevea brasiliensis (rubber tree)
Lineage: Eukaryota; Viridiplantae; Streptophyta; Magnoliopsida; Malpighiales; Euphorbiaceae
Source: RNAcentral
AGAAACUGCAAUGCACUUAAGUGCUUCCCAUUAGAACAUUUUUCCAGGUUAAAGACACUUAGUAUCAGUGGAUGUGCAAAUUUUGAAUCCCUUUCUGCUUCUGGAGGACCUUUGGGGGACUCGACACGUCUUAGCUCGUUAGUAAUAUCCAACUGCCCAAGUCUAUUAUCUUUUCCCGGAGGAGGAUUAGCAGCCCCAAAUUUGACAAAGCUUGAGCUAAAGGAUUGCUUAAAUUUGAAGUCCCUGCCAGAACUUAUGCACUCCCUCCUUCCUUCUCUUGUGGAUUUGAGGUUAUCUCAUUGUGCAGAACUUGUGUCCUUUCCACAAGGGGGUUUGCCUUCCAAGUUACAAUUGCUUUGGAUCCAUCACUGUAACAAACUCUUUGACAG